UACGGGGGGGGCAAGCGUUGUUCGGAAUUACUGGGCGUAAAGGGCUCGUAGGUGGCCAACUAAGUCAGACGUGAAAUCCCCAGGCUCAACUUGGGAACUGCGUCUGAUACUGGAUGGCUUGAAUUCGGGAGAGGGAUGCAGAAUUCCAGGUGUAGCGGUGAAAUGCGUAGAUAUCUGGAGGAAUACCGGUGGCGAAGGCGGCAUCCUGGACCGAGAUUGACACUGAUGUGCAAAAGCUAGGGGAGCAAACGGG
Molecule: ribosomal RNA, 253 nt
Filed under: uncultured bacterium
Lineage: Bacteria
Description: partial 16S ribosomal RNA
Rfam family: Bacterial small subunit ribosomal RNA
Source: RNAcentral